GUUGUAGCUCAGUUGGUUAGAGCGCCAGGUUGUGGCCCUGGAGGUCGUGGGUUCGACCCCCAUCA
This 65-nucleotide transfer RNA is filed under the name human gut metagenome. It matches the Rfam family "tRNA", at positions 6 to 65 of the family's 71-position model. From Rfam's summary of the family: Transfer RNA (tRNA) molecules are approximately 80 nucleotides in length. The record is from RNAcentral.